RNAcentral lists this ribosomal RNA (301 nucleotides) under uncultured bacterium. RNAcentral's name for it is "partial 16S ribosomal RNA". It matches the Rfam family "Bacterial small subunit ribosomal RNA", at positions 509 to 809 of the family's 1533-position model. The record is from RNAcentral.
CAGCCGCCGCGGGAAUACGUAGGGUGCGAGCGUUAAUCGGAAUUACUGGGCGUAAAGCGUGCGCAGGCGGUUGUGUAAGACAGGUGUGAAAUCCCCGGGCUUAACCUGGGAACUGCGCUUGUGACUGCACAGCUAGAGUAUGGCAGAGGGGGGUGGAAUUCCACGUGUAGCAGUGAAAUGCGUAGAGAUGUGGAGGAACACCGAUGGCGAAGGCAGCCCCCUGGGCCAAUACUGACGCUCAUGCACGAAAGCGUGGGGAGCAAACAGGAUUAGAUACCCCCGUAGUCCCUGUCUCUUAUAA